UACGGAGGGUGCAAGCGUUAAUCGGAAUUACUGGGCGUAAAGCGCACGCAGGUGGCUGAGUCAGUCGAUUGUGAAAGCCCUGGGCUUAACCUGGGAAUUGCAGUCGAUACUACUCAGCUAGAGUAUGGGAGAGGGUAGUGGAAUUCCUGGUGUAGCGGUGAAAUGCGCAGAUAUCAGGAAGAACACCCGUGGCUAAGGCGGCUCUCUAGUACGGUACUGACGCUGAGACGCGAAAGCGUGGGGAGCGAACAGG
RNAcentral lists this ribosomal RNA (253 nucleotides) under uncultured bacterium. Its description in RNAcentral is "partial 16S ribosomal RNA". It matches the Rfam family "Bacterial small subunit ribosomal RNA", at positions 524 to 776 of the family's 1533-position model. The record is from RNAcentral.